UAUCUCUGUAGAGUCUGCAUAUCAAUAAGCGGAGGAAAAGAAACUAACUAGGAUUCCCUCAGUAACGGCGAGUGAAGCGGGAAGAGCUCAAAUUUGAAAUCUUCAAGGUUCUACCUUGACGAAUUGUAGUUUAAAGAAGUGUUUUCUGUUGGAGUUUUGGUAAAAGUUCUUUGGAAUAGGACAUCAUAGAGGGUGAGAAUCCCGUAUUUGACCAUUAUUUCCAGCUUUGUGAUACACUUUCAAAGAGUCGGAUUGUUUGGGAAUGCAGUCCAAAAUGGGUGGUAAAUUUCAUCUAAAGCUAAAUAUUGGCGAGAGACCGAUAGCGAACAAGUACCGUGAGGGAAAGAUGAAAAGAACUUUGAAAAGAGAGUUAAACAGUACGUGAAAUUGUCAAAAGGGAAGCGUUUGACACCAGUGUUGUUUUCUCGAAAAUCAAUUAAAAAAGACUGGAUUUUGUGUUGUAUUGACUUUAUCAGCUUUCUGCACUCUUUUCUUGUCUUUUUUAAUGCACUUUUCGCUUAACAAGUCAACAUCAAUUUCUUUUGUUGUAAAAGGGUCAUUGGAAGGUGGCUUUCUUUUCGGAGAAAGUGUUUAUAGCCUUUGGCCUCUGCAAUCGGAGAGAUUGAGGUCUGCAGCGUAGAUCCUUCGGGGUUAGAUACAUUUGUGCUAAGUUAUAGCCUUUCAUAGACAACUUGUUGACUAUGAUCAGUCAUGUAGCUUACUCGCUUAUGCUAUUUUACCUACGCUUAGGAUGUUGAGUCAUCACACAUCUCU
Molecule: ribosomal RNA, 774 nt
Filed under: uncultured Neocallimastigales
Lineage: Eukaryota; Fungi; Neocallimastigomycota; Neocallimastigomycetes; Neocallimastigales
Description: partial large subunit ribosomal RNA
Rfam family: Eukaryotic large subunit ribosomal RNA
Source: RNAcentral